GGGUUGUGAGGUUAAGCGACUAAGCGUACACGGUGGAUGCCCUGGCAGUCAGAGGCGAUGAAGGGCGUGCUAAUCUGCGAUAAGCGCCGGUAAGGUGAUAUGAACCGUUAUAACCGGCGAUACCCGAAUGGGGAAACCCAGUGUGAUUCGUCACACUAUCAUUAACUGAAUCCAUAGGUUAAUGAGGCGAACCGGGGGAACUGAAACAUCUAAGUACCCCGAGGAAAAGAAAUCAACCGAGAUUCCCCCAGUAGCGGCGAGCGAACGGGGAGGAGCCCAGAGCCUGAAUCAGCAUGUGUGUUAGUGGAAGCGUCUGGAAAGGCGCGCGAUACAGGGUGACAGCCCCGUACACAAAAGCGCAUGUGCUGUGAGCUCGAUGAGUAGGGCGGGACACGUGGUAUCCUGUCUGAAUAUGGGGGGACCAUCCUCCAAGGCUAAAUACUCCUGACUGACCGAUAGUGAACCAGUACCGUGAGGGAAAGGCGAAAAGAACCCCGGCGAGGGGAGUGAAAAAGAACCUGAAACCGUGUACGUACAAGCAGUGGGAGCACCCUUCGGGGUGUGACUGCGUACCUUUUGUAUAAUGGGUCAGCGACUUAUAUUCUGUAGCAAGGUUAACCGAAUAGGGGAGCCGGAGGGAAACCGAGUCUUAAUUGGGCGUUAAGUUGCAGGGUAUAGACCCGAAACCCGGUGAUCUAGCCAUGGGCAGGUUGAAGGUUGGGUAACACUAACUGGAGGACCGAACCGACUAAUGUUGAAAAAUUAGCGGAUGACCUGUGGCUGGGGGUGAAAGGCCAAUCAAACCGGGAGAUAGCUGGUUCUCCCCGAAAGCUAUUUAGGUAGCGCCUCGUGAAUUCAUCUCCGGGGGUAGAGCACUGUUUCGGCUAGGGGGCCAUCCCGGCUUACCAACCCGAUGCAAACUGCGAAUACCGGAGAAUGUUAUCACGGGAGACACACGGCGGGUGCUAACGUCCGUCGUGAAGAGGGAAACAACCCAGACCGCCAGCUAAGGUCCCAAAGUCAUGGUUAAGUGGGAAACGAUGUGGGAAGGCCCAGACAGCCAGGAUGUUGGCUUAGAAGCAGCCAUCAUUUAAAGAAAGCGUAAUAGCUCACUGGUCGAGUCGGCCUGCGCGGAAGAUGUAACGGGGCUAAACCAUGCACCGAAGCUGCGGCAGCGAACGUAUCACCCAAGACAACUUUGCGGAGUUGACGAUUGACGGAGCGAAGCGACGUCAAAGCGUUCAUUAAAGUCGAGUUGGCUUAGGGAUACGUUCGUUGGGUAGGGGAGCGUUCUGUAAGCCUGUGAAGGUAUGCUGUGAGGCAUGCUGGAGGUAUCAGAAGUGCGAAUGCUGACAUAAGUAACGAUAAAGCGGGUGAAAAGCCCGCUCGCCGGAAGACCAAGGGUUCCUGUCCAACGUUAAUCGGGGCAGGGUGAGUCGACCCCUAAGGCGAGGCCGAAAGGCGUAGUCGAUGGGAAACGGGUUAAUAUUCCCGUACUUGGUGUUACUGCGAAGGGGGGACGGAGAAGGCUAUGUUGGCCGGGCGACGGUUGUCCCGGUUUAAGCGUGUAGGUGUGUGUUCCAGGUAAAUCCGGUUCACUUUAACACUGAGGCGUGACGACGAGGCACUACGGUGCUGAAGCAACAAAUGCCCUGCUUCCAGGAAAAGCCUCUAAGCAUCAGGUAACAUCAAAUCGUACCCCAAACCGACACAGGUGGUCAGGUAGAGAAUACCAAGGCGCUUGAGAGAACUCGGGUGAAGGAACUAGGCAAAAUGGUGCCGUAACUUC
Molecule: ribosomal RNA, 1789 nt
Filed under: Salmonella enterica subsp. enterica serovar Indiana
Lineage: Bacteria; Pseudomonadati; Pseudomonadota; Gammaproteobacteria; Enterobacterales; Enterobacteriaceae
Description: partial 23S ribosomal RNA
Rfam family: Bacterial large subunit ribosomal RNA
Source: RNAcentral